CCUACGGGAGGCAGCAGUGGGGAAUAUUGCACAAUGGGCGAAAGCCUGAUGCAGCGACGCCGCGUGAGGGAUGACGGCCUUCGGGUUGUAAACCUCUUUCAGUAGGGAAGAAGCGCAAGUGACGGUACCUGCAGAAGAAGCGCCGGCUAACUACGUGCCAGCAGCCGCGGUAAUACGUAGGGCGCAAGCGUUGUCCGGAAUUAUUGGGCGUAAAGAGCUCGUAGGCGGUUUGUCGCGUCUGCUGUGAAAGCCCGGGGCUCAACCCCGGGUCUGCAGUGGGUACGGGCAGACUAGAGUGCAGUAGGGGAGACUGGAAUUCCUGGUGUAGCGGUGAAAUGCGCAGAUAUCAGGAGGAACACCGAUGGCGAAGGCAGGUCUCUGGGCUGUUACUGACGCUGAGGAGCGAAAGCAUGGGGAGCGAACAGGAUUAGAUACCCUGGUAGUCCAUGCCGUAAACGUUGGGCACUAGGUGUGGGGGACAUUCCACGUUUUCCGCGCCGUAGCUAACGCAUUAAGUGCCCCGCCUGGGGAGUACGGCCGCAAGGCUAAAACUCAAAGGAAUUGACGGGGGCCCGCACAAGCGGCGGAGCAUGCGGAUUAAUUCGAUGCAACGCGAAGAACCUUACCAAGGCUUGACAUUCACCGGACCGCCUCAGAGAUGGGGUUUCCCUUCGGGGCUGGUGGACAGGUGGUGCAUGGUUGUCGUCAGCUCGUGUCGUGAGAUGUUGGGUUAAGUCCCGCAACGAGCGCAACCCUCGUUCUAUGUUGCCAGCACGUGAUGGUGGGGACUCAUAGGAGACUACCGGGGUCAACUCGGAGGAGGUGGGGAUGACGUCAAAUCAUCAUGCCCCUUAUGUCUUGGGCUUCACGCAUGCUACAAUGGCCGGUACAAAGGGUUGCGAAACUGUGAGUGGUGCUAAUCCAAAAAGCCGGUCUCAGUUCGGAUUGAGGUCUGCAACUCGACCUCAUGAGUCGGAGUCGCUAGUAUCGCAGAUCAGCACGCCGCGUGAUACGUUCCCGGG
This 1022-nucleotide ribosomal RNA is filed under the name uncultured bacterium. RNAcentral describes it as "bacterial SSU rRNA". It matches the Rfam family "Bacterial small subunit ribosomal RNA", at positions 338 to 1378 of the family's 1533-position model. The record is from RNAcentral.